RNAcentral lists this transfer RNA (72 nucleotides) under Saitoella complicata NRRL Y-17804. It matches the Rfam family "tRNA". Rfam says of the family: Transfer RNA (tRNA) molecules are approximately 80 nucleotides in length. Lineage: Eukaryota; Fungi; Ascomycota; Saitoellomycetes; Saitoellales; Saitoellaceae. The record is from Rfam by way of RNAcentral.
GUUGCCAUGGCUUAAGGGUUAAAGCAUAUUACUGUUAAUAAUGUUAUACAAGUUCGAAUCUUGUUGGUGACU